UACGUAGGGUGCGAGCGUUGUCCGGAAUUAUUGGGCGUAAAGGGCUCGUAGGCGGUUUGUCGCGUCGGGAGUGAAAUCCACUGGCUUAACUGGUGGCUUGCUUUCGAUACGGGCAGACUGGAGGUAUGCAGGGGAGAACGGAAUCCUGGUGUAGCGGUGAAAUGCGCAGAUAUCAGGAGGAACACCGGUGGCGAAGGCGGUUCUCUGGGCAUGUCCUGACGUGAGGAGCGAAAGCGUGGGGAGCGAACAGG
This 251-nucleotide ribosomal RNA is filed under the name uncultured bacterium. Its description in RNAcentral is "partial 16S ribosomal RNA". It matches the Rfam family "Bacterial small subunit ribosomal RNA", at positions 524 to 776 of the family's 1533-position model. The record is from RNAcentral.